CCAUCUUGUCUUAAAGCCGCAGUUUUUUCUUUCUCCGAUCGCUGAGAAUGGGCUCUCAUGAAGCAAUGUCAACAUCUUCGUUUUAACUGAAAUUAAGAUAUCUACAUCAUGGUUAAUUAAAACAGCCAACCACAGAAUUUAAUAAGAUUCUUCUGUACCAGGAGUUAAUCAGUGAAAGCAUUCUGGCUCAUUUCUUCUGACAUAUUUUCCAAACAAGAAAAGGAGGAAUUCAUUAACCCGUGUCACCCAUAGUGACCAAACAUAAUAUUAACCAGCACAUUGUCAAGAACCUUGCUCAUGGGUUCGUGACUGAAUUGGUUAAGCAGAAUAGGGAUAGGGAAGAAGAGAGAGGGAGUCGAGAGAGAAAUUUGAAUUACAAUUUCAAUUUCAAAUUGAACAUGCUUUCCUUCCCACCAGUGAGUCAUUUAUAUAGGUAUAGGGGGUGCGCCUUUCAGUUGCGUGAGUCCUUUAUGGCUACAACCAAAUGAAAAAAAAAUAAUCCAUGCACGUAACUGGAAGUACAAAAUUGCCUUCUGUCCUCACACCUGUUUACCCUUUUAUCCUUCUUCCUUCGGUGCACUUUUAGCAGCUUCCUUACAAUACUUUUCCCCUGAAUGGAACCUUAUCUUCAAGGUUGAGAUUUGGAAAUUGGUGACUCAUAUACUAAUAGUCUUCCCAAGUGUAAUCGUCCUGUGCAGUACCGUCCCAGGAAAUGAGGACCUGUUCCAUUUUGUGAUCACCGAGGGGAAUGGUCCUACGUUGCAGAACUCUCUCAGGUUGGACACUGGGUACACCCUCCCAGUUAUCCAUUGUAGGUUUUUACCCUAGUUCAUUACCAACAAUGUUUUUUUUUAACUGGAACACAUGGAAGACUGGGUGGAUAUGCGAGGAUGGGGUAAUUUAAGCCAAUAUACCACUGGUCCUACUUUAUGUAGAACUUCAAAAGGACCAUAGAAUCUUGGAGACAGCUUGGAACUUUCAUCUUGUGUGACCAAUCCUUGCCUGAACGGUUGAAGCUUGAGUAGCAUAAAGUCAUGUUAUUCAGAACUACUUUAACUAUGAUAAGCAUCAACAUAUUGUUUGGUAUGGAGUCGAGCCUUCAACAAAUAUUGUUUAAUUACCCAAUUAGCUUCAUCUCUCUCCAUUAUGAAGGCUUCAACUGAUCGUGAGGGUGGUGUGGAUCGACGACAUCCCAAGAAGUGGGGAGAAGUGUAAUCAUAAAGAGCUUAAAGAGGGUCAUUUGCAAACUCGAGUAGUAUGAAGGGUUAUACCACCAUUCAGCAAUCGUUAGUC
RNAcentral lists this long non-coding RNA (1293 nucleotides) under Carica papaya (papaya). RNAcentral describes it as "long non-coding RNA (CPAP_LNC013810)". The record is from RNAcentral. Lineage: Eukaryota; Viridiplantae; Streptophyta; Magnoliopsida; Brassicales; Caricaceae.